GUACAUACUUACAUCACCUUCAGCCCACUGAAGCUAAGCAGGGCUGAGCCUGGUCAGUACCUGGAUGGGAGGCCGCAUGGGAAAACUAGGUUGCUGUUGAAA
This 102-nucleotide ribosomal RNA is filed under the name Danio rerio (zebrafish). The record is from RNAcentral. Lineage: Eukaryota; Metazoa; Chordata; Actinopteri; Cypriniformes; Danionidae.